AGCUAAAAAGGGAAACGAAGAAAGGUAGAGGGUGGUGGCCGCCACCAGAAAUCGUUUCUGACGGUGGUGUGCAUUUCGUCUCGGUCGGGCAUAGUAAAGGUCCACGGAAAAGGCUAAAGGCCGACGAUGCCUCCAUCGAAAAUCGCCUCCGACCGCGGCGCGUGGCGGUGCACGGCGACACUCGCGGUGGCUGGAAAUCGCCUACGGUAGCAGUGCAUAAUGGUGUUCACGGGAAGCACUGUUUUCCUGUUGGUCCAAGCUCAUGUUUUUGGAAGCAUAUAUGGCACAAGCAUGCUCUUGGGGACAUGUUGGUGGCUAGGGCAGAGGAGCUCAGCAAGCUUGUUAGAGAAGAAAUAACCGUACAGAAAAGUGUGGGAUGGUAGAGAUUUUAGGUGCAGAGGAAAAGAUUAUUUUGUUAUUUUCUUGUUUUUUUUUAUUUUCUUUUAUUAUUUUUUCUAUUUAUUAUUUAUGCUUAUUGUGUGUAUUUUUGAGUUUAAAUCUAGUUUGUAAAUGAUUUUUUCUUGAA
Molecule: long non-coding RNA, 526 nt
Organism: Cajanus cajan (pigeon pea)
Lineage: Eukaryota; Viridiplantae; Streptophyta; Magnoliopsida; Fabales; Fabaceae
Source: RefSeq, a predicted model, not a curated record